RNAcentral lists this ribosomal RNA (484 nucleotides) under uncultured bacterium. Its description in RNAcentral is "partial 16S ribosomal RNA". It matches the Rfam family "Bacterial small subunit ribosomal RNA", at positions 899 to 1397 of the family's 1533-position model. The record is from RNAcentral.
ACUCAAAGGAAUUGACGGGGGAGCGCACAACCGGUGGAGCAUGUUGUUUAAUUCGAUACGAAGCGAAAAACCUUACCCAGAUUUGACAUGUAACUGCACGGUCAUGGAAACAUGGCCUUCUUCGAGAGUGUUACACAGGUGAUGCAUGGCUGUCGUCAGCUCGUGUCGUGAGACGUCCGCUUAAGUGCGGUAACGAGCGCAACCCUUAUUCCGUGUUACAUUUCACGGAAGACGGUCCCGGUUUCUACCGGGAAGGAAGGAGAGGACGACGUCAAGUCAGCACGUCCCUUACAUCUGGGGCCACAAACAUCCUACAAUGGAGCCGACAACAGGUCGCGAUGGGGUAACCCUGAGCCAAUCCUAUAAACGGCUCCUCAGUUCAGAUUGAGGGCUGCAAUCCGCCCUCAUGAAGUCGGAAUCGGUAGUAAUCGCAAAUCAGCAGGUUGCGGUGAAUACGUUCUCGCUCCUUGUACACACCGCCCGU